UGAAAUACAAUGAAAAAAAAGGUAACAGACUCUUCAAGUUACUCGGCCCCAAUCCACCGGUAUCCAGGCCGCCGGUUAAGUGAAGACAAUUGUUGAAGAAGCACCACUUUAAAGAUUAAACAGAAACUAGAAACAGAACUUCUUUAGAUCUCACAAGGCAAGUAUGAACAAUCAAUGCAAAAUCCAAGAAAAAUUUAGAAUGUGUAAUACAACCGUAUGAACGAAAACGGCUUCCGGGGAGGAUGUUAGGUGUGACAAAACAAGGAAGGGGAAGAGGUCGCCGGCCGAAUUUGAAAAAGAGAAGAAAGAGAAAUAGAAAGGAGGAGAGAGGGUAGGAGAAGGAGAGACAAAAAUAGGUAUCAAUAUUUACUACAAGACCUAAAUUCUUUUAACAAAAUCAUAAAUACACUGACCAUUCGUGAUAUUGAGGCACGAAAACAGAAACAUUGCACAUGCCAUUACUUAGUGCGAAUAUAAAUUUUGAUGGAAGAUUUUUUCAAAAAAAAUUCAUUUUUUUUUUGAAAUCUGUAUUUGUUCAUGAAAUUUUGGAAGAUGCAUUUUGAAUUUGAAAAAUUGAAAAAUUAUAAAAAGCUAUUUUUCAAAAUUUUUUCAGUCAAAUCACUCACAAAACUUCGAAAAUUAACCAAACUGAAGUUUAUGUCCAAACACAACUCUAAAUUUCAAAUAACAUCUAAAAAAAAAUUCACCAUUUUUUCGAAUUUUACCUUUUUUAUGUUCAAACGCCUACUUAGGCGUCUGGCAAUUUCAGUGAAAGUGAAGAGCAAGAUCCGGAGCCCAACACUGUUCCAUAAGCAUUCUCCACUCCGUGUCGCAGAAGCUCGGCAUAUGUGGUCUCAAGGGUUCAGAUAUUUCCUGGAAGAUCUUUACUGAAGGAGCAAGCUGGUCUACUACUUGAGGAGCUCUGGGCAGAGUGUCAGAGAUGGCAGAGGAUAAGCUAUUAUUGGAGAUAGUGGAAGUGGACACGAUAAAAUUGCUGCACUCUGCUGCAAAAGCAGGCGGGAGAUUACUUGUCAGUAUUUUUGUGUACGUCAGCUUUUCUUCAGGACCUUUGUCUUGGCUUGGUAUUAACCCCGCGUUAGGC
Long non-coding RNA from Nicotiana attenuata, 1102 nucleotides. RefSeq lists it as uncharacterized. NCBI's taxonomy places the organism in Eukaryota, Viridiplantae, Streptophyta, Magnoliopsida, Solanales, Solanaceae. The record is from RefSeq and is a predicted model, not a curated record. The transcript has 3 exons.